GUUCUUCCUCUCAUCUCUCUCUCCCUUCUAAGUUUCAAGCCCAUUUUCUCUCUCUUUCUCCACUCUCCCAAAAGUUUGAAGGGUCAAAUACCAGAGGGACGGCUCUGGAGUCUGCUUUGGGGUUAAGGAGCCCCUCAGUGCUGCUUUAAGAGCCCAAUUACUCCCAUCAGGUGUGAGGAACUGCCUUCGCAGACGGGACGAUACAAACACACACACACAUGUGCCACGGGAGCAUUUGUGUCACGAGGUGAAGAAGAAGUGUGCUAAACAGCUGGAGCCGAGCCGUAUUUCUAAAUUGUCGACACCUCCAUGGGCAUUCAGGUGUCUGUACUGGACUGGUGAAGUGAUGCUGUAUAAUCCCUGUAACAUAUUACAUCCUAGCCUUCAGAGUGACCUGCAAGAUGAGGAAUUGUGUGUUCAGCAGAAGCCGGCAGGAUAUAUGAUAAGACGGACCCUGAAUCGAACACUUUUGUUUCUCACAAAGGGAAAAGAGGGAAAUUCCCCUGCAAACUCUUUUAAAGCGGCAGCUGCACACACACAUGUGCUUCACCUUUACAGCGCUCAGCUCCUCAACCUGCAUGACUGAUGUAGUGUGCAAAGUGAACAUCUCAUAAAACGUCACCUGCAGUCAGGCCUGCAUGUACCUGUAACAUGUCAAUAUUUUACAACGCCAGCAAACGCCAUUUCUGCAGUCAUAUAUAACCGGGGCCUGCAAACGGCUGAGAUGCUAAGUAUUCAUUCGCACAUUAUUCAUGGUGACAAAGGCCUGAAAACACGUCGUGGUGCUAAAGAAAAGUUGAAAAACCGUCAAAGCGGGUCAAAGCAUUUAUUUCGGUGCGAGUGUUCGCAGGGUUUGUGUUUCAUUGAUUGGGUGUUGUGUGCUCUGGCAAAAAUAAAAAUCAGAUUGUGCUUAUCUCUCACCUGUGUGUGUAUUUAUGUGAAGCAGGGUGUGUGUGUGUGUGUGUGUGUGUGUGUGUGUGU
Long non-coding RNA from Cyprinus carpio (common carp), 981 nucleotides. RefSeq lists it as uncharacterized. The transcript has 3 exons. NCBI's taxonomy places the organism in Eukaryota, Metazoa, Chordata, Actinopteri, Cypriniformes, Cyprinidae. The record is from RefSeq and is a predicted model, not a curated record.